UGACCUCUGACCUCAAAUCAGGUAGGACUACCCGCUGAACUUAAGCAUAUCAAUAAGCGGAGGAAAAGAAACUAACAAGGAUUCCCCUAGUAACUGCGAGUGAAGCGGGAAAAGCUCAAAUUUAAAAUCUGGCGGUCUUUGGCCGUCCGA
This 150-nucleotide ribosomal RNA is filed under the name Ganoderma enigmaticum. Its description in RNAcentral is "partial 28S ribosomal RNA". It matches the Rfam family "Eukaryotic large subunit ribosomal RNA", at positions 1 to 142 of the family's 3401-position model. Lineage: Eukaryota; Fungi; Basidiomycota; Agaricomycetes; Polyporales; Polyporaceae. The record is from RNAcentral.